Molecule: non-coding RNA, 1682 nt
Organism: Doryrhamphus excisus (bluestripe pipefish)
Lineage: Eukaryota; Metazoa; Chordata; Actinopteri; Syngnathiformes; Syngnathidae
Source: RefSeq, a predicted model, not a curated record
UAUCUGGGGGAGGAAAAAAAAAAGUGCUCCUCCUUCGUUUCAUAUGUCAGUUCAUCAAGAGAGCUGGCACAGCACCGCAGCGUUAGCGGACCACUGGACGACUACAACCUCGCAGACAAAGAUGAGGACAUAUAUAUAUUUAUAUAGCCGAUUGAAGACAACAGUAUCAGCACGUCAAGAAACUUCAAGAGGAAACUCGACAAGGACGGACGAUAAAGAAUCACAGAACAUGCGAGUCUGUGUGUUCCUUCUUUGUAUGCUUACGUCCACAGGGAGAGUCAAAACAAAACACACGGAAAGAGCUGCAACAGAGGGCUCCUCUCACAGAGGAUCUUUGACAAAUUAUUUUCCAGCAGACUAUUCCUGUUGUAUAGAGGAUCUUUGACAGGCAUUUUUCUGGUACGUUUUAAAGGGAAACUGCACUUUUUUUUAAUUAUUCACAAUCCUUAUGUGAAACAGGAACACAUAUUUCUUUUCCUUUUCUGUGCAGGGUCUUUUCAUUUUUGCAUCAUUUCAUGUACACACUCUGAUCAUGCAUUAACACGUACACUGAUGAUAAUAUGUAAUAGUUGCAGUAUCUUGCCGUAUUUUGAUGAUUAUAAACAUAAGUUAGCUGAAAUAAACUUUUUUUAAUGCACAGAAAAGGAAAAAAAAAUAUGUGUUCAUGUUUCACAUAAGGAUUGGGAAUGUUUCCAAAUAAAGUCCCAUUCCCCUUUUAAGGCAGCAGAGUGUUCCUGUCAAAGACAGAAUCCUGGUGCUGGUCCACAAAGAAGCAGCUAAACACUUGCAGACCUUCACAUGGCCUGUGACUUCAAAAAUUCAUCAUCCAUCAUCCAUUGAGCAGCACAAGACAAUCAUGUUUGAGAAGAAGUCCUGAGGCAAAAAGCUGAAGGAUGGACAAGAUCACGCAUCAUCUGCUUUGGGAGGCCGACAUGGCUUUUACACAAAAAGUGCAUCUUGUUGCUCUAAAAGCCCAAUGCAACACCAUCUCCAGGAAUUCAAGCCACGACAAGACGCAAAGAUGGGUAAGGAAACGUGAGGCUGCUGAUGUCAUGAGCAUCUGACCCCAGAUGACAACCUCGGCCUACCCUCAGGAUCAGUCAGCUCCAUGGGAAGCGGCUCCUCAGGAAACACUGUGGUUUUAUUACCAGCACUAAAUGACUCAAAUUGAUCUUUUCCCUGACAAUUGAUCUCAUACAAGCAAGGAGACAUGCUGGCGGCUUUGAAGGUACCAUGAAAUAAACACCAGCAGUUUUGGGUCUUUUCGUUUGACUUUGUAGCAUAGAUCAAUGAAGCGCAAGCUUCUGUCACAAUAGAACCCCAUCAUCGACAAUACAGUACAUAUAUACCAUAGAGCAGGGGUGGGCAAAUAUUUGGACUCCUGGCCGCAUUGAGUUAACAAAAUUGUCCAGAACAUAUAUUUAACACACACAUACACACACACACACACACACACACUAUUUUAUGCUUAUAAUUUUUCUUGAAUUAUUUGUCUAAUGUUAUCUGUAGAAGUGUAAUACUAUCAGCUGUAUGUUCUCAUGUCAAUUUUUUCAGGAUCACUAAACAUCAGACCACAUCAAACUAUGUUAUUUAAUUUUACAGUUGUGUUGUUUUUUUUUUUUUUUUUUUACUAAAUAAGACUUGCAAGUCAUGUUGCCAGUUUGUAUGUUAAAAGUUGAAAU